AAGUCGUAACAAGGUCUUCGUAGGUGAACCUGCGAAGGGAUCAUUAACACGUUCCAAACCUCUUAUCAACCCAUCUGUGAACUCUUGUUACUGCCGAUGUGGCUGACCACGAGUGCACGGCGCAUACGAUCGACUCAAUGAUGAGGCGGCUGACUUUUGUCUCUGCCUGGUCUAGUAGUAUGCCUCUGUGUCCGCUUCGGACAGCAGUCCUUGUGGUUCGGUCCGGCCCACUAUAUAUGCGAUGUUCGACGGCCGUCAUCUGCUGUCGACUCGCAUAUCACACACGCCCUGCGACUCGCUCGUGACCUUCGUGUCACUGGCUUGGCGCACUACAUCAAUUUAUCCAACACAAACUUUGCUGCAUCGACGCAUCAGUCGGUGCAUGCGAGAAACAAACUAAACAGUGAACAACUCUUAGCAAUGGAUAUCUUGGUUCUC
RNAcentral lists this unclassified non-coding RNA (438 nucleotides) under fungal sp. RNAcentral describes it as "partial internal transcribed spacer region". The stretch from base 1 to 46 matches the Rfam family "Eukaryotic small subunit ribosomal RNA", at positions 1786 to 1831 of the family's 1831-position model. The record is from RNAcentral. Lineage: Eukaryota; Fungi.